UGGUAUUGUUAGUGAUUUCAGGCUUAGAACAGGUACAAUGGUUAGAAAUGACAUUUAGAAGGUUAAAAGAUGCAUUUGGAUGGUUUUUGGACGAGUUCGAGUGAAGACGGAUUGAACAAUACAAGUUUUGCGAGUUCUGGUAGCUUGUGCGGCGCAUAAGUAGGGUAUGCGGUGCAUGGAAAUAUGUGAUUUUGGUCAGAAAGUCGAGCAAAAGUGUCUAUGCGGCGCACAGGGAAGUCAUGCGGUGCAUAACGGGCAAGAAGUCUGGAAGUUGAAGUUUCUGCGGUGCACAGCUAAUUUGUGCGGUGCAUAACGGGUGCCCAAAAUAUGGAAACUCUAGUUUGUGCAGUGCAUAGAUUCCUUGUGCGGUGCAUAAACUAGGUCGACUGAAAACCCUUUGAGAUUUCACUAUAAAUACAAGACCAAAACCCUCCCAUUCGACAUACAAUCACCUCCAGUCGAUUUUAGGGUUCUUUGAGGCAAUAUUCAGCAGCUUUUAUGUCCAUCAAGGUCUAAGGGUUGUUCGUGAGUUUCAAGGCAUUGGUUAUACGUGAGGUGCAGAUGCAGUUGUGGCAGUUGGGGGCAAUGUGACUCUUCAUGAGGUUGUUAAUGGAUAUUUCUGGGGUGGAAAACCAGUUUCUAAACAUGAUUCGAAGAACUUACAUGCAACAGCCUUCGUUUUAAUCCCAUUGGGAACUGGGUCUGAUUUUGCUAGAACUUUUGGCUGGUCAAUGACGGCGAGUGGGAAGUGUAUCCCCAGGUAACUGCUCUGAUGCACAAUUCUUUGGUGGCAGAAUGAGGAUCACUCCUAAUGCCCAAUCUUCAAGUGGAGAUUUUGAGGUGCAGUGCAGACUUCAUAUGCUUUUUUUCCCCUCGUGGAAUAUUGGAUACAUAUUUAGGCUUGGUCGAUAAGUUUUAUUCUAAUUCUAAUAACAUAUACAUUAAAAACUAUCAUGUAUAACUGAAGACCCUAAAAAGAAAAAGUUAUGAAAACAUCAAAACAAAA
Molecule: long non-coding RNA, 1006 nt
Organism: Erigeron canadensis
Lineage: Eukaryota; Viridiplantae; Streptophyta; Magnoliopsida; Asterales; Asteraceae
Exons: 5
Source: RefSeq, a predicted model, not a curated record